CGGGUGAGGAUCACGUGAGAAACCUGCCCCAGACUUUGGGAUAACAGUUGGAAACGACUGCUAAUACCGAAUGACGUCGGAGAACCGCAUGGUUCACUGACGAAAGGAAAUCCGGUUUGGGAGGGUCUCGCGGCCUAUCAGCUUGUUGGUGGGGUAAUGGCUUACCAAGGCUAUGACGGGUAGCUGGUCUGAGAGGAUGAUCAGCCACACUGGGACUGAGACACGGCCCAGACUCC
RNAcentral lists this ribosomal RNA (236 nucleotides) under uncultured bacterium. RNAcentral describes it as "partial 16S ribosomal RNA". It matches the Rfam family "Bacterial small subunit ribosomal RNA", at positions 103 to 339 of the family's 1533-position model. The record is from RNAcentral.